RNAcentral lists this ribosomal RNA (427 nucleotides) under uncultured bacterium. RNAcentral describes it as "partial 16S ribosomal RNA". It matches the Rfam family "Bacterial small subunit ribosomal RNA", at positions 355 to 774 of the family's 1533-position model. The record is from RNAcentral.
UGGGGAAUAUUGGACAAUGGGCGAAAGCCUGAUCCAGCCAUGCCGCGUGUGUGAAGAAGGUCUUCGGAUUGUAAAGCACUUUAAGUUGGGAGGAAGGGCAGUAAGUUAAUACCUUGCUGUUUUGACGUUACCGACAGAAUAAGCACCGGCUAACUCUGUGCCAGCAGCCGCGGUAAUACAGAGGGUGCAAGCGUUAAUCGGAAUUACUGGGCGUAAAGCGCGCGUAGGUGGUUUGUUAAGUUGGAUGUGAAAGCCCCGGGCUCAACCUGGGAACUGCAUCCAAAACUGGCAGGCUAGAGUACGGUAGAGGGUGGUGGAAUUUCCUGUGUAGCGGUGAAAUGCGUAGAUAUAGGAAGGAACACCAGUGGCGAAGGCGACCAACUGGACUGAUACUGACACUGAGGUGCGAAAGCGUGGGGAGCAAACA